CACCUGAGUCCUCCUGACAUAUCUACUAGUUUUCCACAGUCAGUCCCCAGUGCUCCACCCCCACUCCUGCCCCUGCAGAUCAGCACACAGGUGCGUUGUGGUAGCGUUAGAAACAAACCAAUGUAUAAACCAGACUUCAAUAAAACAUCCUUUAAAACUUGAGAUCGCUUGGGUUCAGUAUUACUAAAGGGCCUGUGUGAAUGCUGUCUCUGUCGACUGGUUGUCUUUGUUCGUUUUUUUAUCAUUUUCCCCUUUUCUUUCCCAGUUUCCCUCACCAUAUCCAGUUGCACAAACAGGGGCCCACCAGCCCCCUCCAUUCUCUCCAGCUCCUCUGCCAUCUGCCUUUAGCAGCAGUGGUCCUCUCAUGUCUAGCUCCUACUAUUUACCGUCCCCCCACCGUCCCACUCUCCCUCUGACCCCUCAUUGUGCCCUGCCUUCCAUACCCACUCUUGGUACCCCUCAAACUCCUCUGUCCACACCUCAACACGUGCCUAAUGUGGCGCUCUCUAUUCCACUUCUUGCCAUGGCCAUGUCACCUGCUGUGCCCCAGCAACAGGUCUGUCCUCCAGCAUCUCAGCCAAACCUUGGUGGCAUCCAUUCCACCCAUUCCUUGCCUUUCUCCCAGGUACAACCCACCCCAUACCCUGCCCCUCACCCUGAGCAGGAACUGGCUGAGCAGCCUGUCCAGAUGCAGACGAUUGCUCCACAGGGGAAUUUGGGAGAUGUUCAGCUUUUGGCUCACGUCCACCAUGUCUUACCGUCUGUUCACACCCCUCUCUGGGGAAAUGGAGCAGAUGCAGAAACACCUGCAGUUGGCCUAAAAUUAAGUGUAGCUCCUGUAAUUCCAAAUGCUGAUGCUGGCCCUGGCCCUGGCCCUGGCCCUGCCCCUGCUCCUGCCCCUGCCCCUACCCCUGCCCCUGCCCCUGCCCCUGCCCCUGCCCCUGCCCCUGCCCUUGCCCCUGCCUCAGCCCCUCCCCAUGCCCCUGCCUCAGCCCCUCCCCAGGCUCCUGCAUCAGUAUCAACAACAGUCCAAGUUGAAACUCAAGCCCCAGCACAAACUCCAGCUCUAGGCCCAGCACAAAACCAAACCCAAGUUCCAGCUCAACCUGCAGCCAUGCCUCAAACUCAACCUUCAGCUUCAACCCUGGUGAAUGCCUCUGCUUCAGUCCCAGUUCAAGUUCCAGCCCCUUCUGCCCCAGCUCAAGCAACACCUUUUCAAGCAGGUCCCACAUUAGAACCACCACAAGUCUCAUCUACAAAUUCACAUUUAUCUUCGACCACUGGUAAACUCCAACAACCAGUCCCUGUUUCGCUGCCGACACAAGCUCAAUCUGCAGCUCCUGCUAUUGUUCCAGCUCCUGUCGCAGUUUCAGUCCCAGCUCCUGUUCUGCAGGCUGCUGGCAUCCAUACCGCAGUAUCAUUGCCUGAAUGUGCCAGCUUGGCCACCACUCAGCAAAACCUAGACACUGCAUCCAGCACCUACCAACAAGAGCUCUAUACAGAGGUAGGUAUAUGGCCACAGUUCAGGCAUGUCUGAGUCCUAUAUUUAUGCUCUUUCUUCAAAAAUUGGAUUUGCUGAUUG
Sphaeramia orbicularis (orbiculate cardinalfish) is the source of this 1582-nucleotide long non-coding RNA. The record is from Ensembl. Lineage: Eukaryota; Metazoa; Chordata; Actinopteri; Kurtiformes; Apogonidae.